This 217-nucleotide long non-coding RNA is filed under the name Gallus gallus (chicken). Lineage: Eukaryota; Metazoa; Chordata; Aves; Galliformes; Phasianidae. The record is from RNAcentral.
GCCAUUUGCAUUUUUCAUAUUAAGCCAAAUAUUGUAUGGAAAGCUGUGUGCUGAAAUCAAAUUAAAGGUAUAAAAAUCUAGUGUAAAGUCCUCAAAGGCAAGAGCACAGGGACCUUGUCAUUCUGAAAAACUGUGUACAACAGGAAACUCUCCUGAUGUAUGUCCAAAGUAGACAAUACUUCUGGCUGUUAACUAAUCAGAAAAUCUUGCAUCAAAU